UUUAGUGAAAGGCCGAGGUGGGUCCUUGUUGAGAGAGAAAAUGAUAGAGGGCGCUUGCAAGAAGUUUGUGGUUAUUGUUGAUAAGUCUAAAAUGGUGAAAUAUAUUAAGGAUAGUGGGUUAGCUAUGCCCGUUGAAAUUGUGCCGUUUUGUUGGAAAUUCAUUACCAAGAGGUUGCAGGAGUUGUUUGGGUACGCAGGUCGUGUGGCCAAGCUGAGGAGUAAGGGUUCUAAUGGCAAGGAGAACGGUGGGGAACCAUUUGUUACCGAUAAUGGGAAUUAUAUUGUGGAUUUGUACUUCAAAAGAGAUAUUGGUAGUUUGAAAGCUGCAAGUAAUGCAAUUUUGAGGCUGGCAGGUGUUGUUGAGCAUGACAUGUUUCUUGAUAUGGCAAAAACAAUCAUUGUUGCAGGGGAACUUGGGAUCACCAUCAAGAAUAAGCAUAAGUAGUGCUCGGUGAUGGAGAUGAGAUGGAAAUGGAGGUAGUUUUGCUGGAUUGAUAUAUUUCGGAAUUACUUUAACAUUUCUAAUGAUUCCUGAUCAAAUUAGGUCAUUAGUUCGAGAGGGAAGGGAUAUUUUAGUUUCUUUGCAUGAAUUUUAUAAUUUAUAUGAUUUAUGACGAGGGUCUCCUCAAAUUAUGGUAUUAUGUAUCAAGAUGAAAGUCUUAAUUUGCAAAAGAAAAUUAGUUUUGUUUUGGGGCAGCUUGGUGAUUAUACUUAUGUAUGUCAGCUGCAGCUGAUAUGAUGAUUUAUUCAAUGUAAACCUUACUUCACUAUUAAUUCAAAUCUCCAUCUUUUUUGGAUCUGCUACUAUCUCUUUCGUAAAUUGCCUCUGGGCGCAAAUAUUUUUUGAUGCAUAGGACCUAGUUUUGGUUGAUGCAAUUAGUACUUUAUUUUUGUUCAAUAUGUCUGUUGAAUAGGAGGUAGUAAGGUAUCGUUAGCAAUCAAAUUUUGUGCUAUAGUUAGCAAUUCUUCACCCAUGAUGAUGAAGGGGGCAGCUAUUCCCUGAGCUUCAAGAUGGAACAAAUAGUAGUAGGGUAAGCUUUGCGUCUUUACUUGUACCUUGUGCGGUUUCUAAAUGCUUCAUAGUGCUAAUGAAGCAUCAGGUUUUUCUAUACUUGCAGUAGCUUUCCUAGUUUAUAUGAAUAAUAAGCAUUAACACAAGCAUACUUCACUUGAGCAGGAGUAAGGUACUUAGCAUCCCAGUUACUCAUAGUCACACGCUUUGGCUUUUCCAAUUCUUCCCCAAUAAUAGUCUCCACCAGAGUCUUCAAUCCGGAUCUCCUAAAUUCCUUGUGAUCAAUUGCUUGUGCAACUAGACUUGCAAUAUCUGCUUCACGAGAUGUCUCCAAGUCAUGGUCCUUGGAAAGCUUCUUUGUGUCACCGGAUAUACGAACUCCAGUGUAGAUGAUGUUAGGAUUACUGAGGGCGUUGCAGAGGGACCAAGGAAUGCAGGUAGCUUGGUAAAUUUGGAAGAUGAGGCGGCAUUUGCGGAUGCAGAGUUGGAGUAUUCCCACCGGAUUCUGGCUGCUGCCGCGUAUGAAAGUUGGACGCCAAUCUAUGUCAAGGCCAACAAUUUUCUGGUGAUGGUGGCAUGGAGCUUGAAGGUGGCCUUUGAUCCACCAGUCUACCACAGUCCGUGAGGAGGUAACCGUGGCCUGGACAAGGCGGUGGUGGAUGGUGACUAGGUAUUUCUGGGUUUUAGUGCCACAGCAAAGUUCUUCAGUGGUGACCCCAUGUUUGAUGUUUCAGGAUUCACAGAACAAGGAAAGAGAGAGGGUAGAGGAUAGUGAAGUUGAAGAGAUUGGAAAUGGAAUAUCCAAUAUAGUGAAUGGAAGAAAAGGUGUGUGUGAGGAGUGAGGACAAUAGGACGUAAUUAAAGUAGCAAUAAUGGAGCUAAGGAAAGCAUCAGUU
This 1908-nucleotide unclassified non-coding RNA is filed under the name Hevea brasiliensis (rubber tree). The record is from RNAcentral. Lineage: Eukaryota; Viridiplantae; Streptophyta; Magnoliopsida; Malpighiales; Euphorbiaceae.